AGCGUAUAUUAAAGUUGUUGCAGUUAAAAAGCUCGUAGUUGAAUUUCGGGGUUAGUAGGUUGGUCAUGCCUCUGGUAUGUACUGGUCUCACUGAUUCCUCCUUCCUGAUGAGCCGUAAUGCCAUUAAUUUGGUGUUGCGGGGAAUUUGGACUGUUACUUUGAAAAAAUUAGAGUGUUUAAAGCAAGCUAACGCUUGAAUACAUUAGCAUGGAAUAAUGAAAUAGGACGUUCGAUCCUAUUUUGUUGGUUUCUAGGAUUGACGUAAUGAUUAAUAGGGAUAGUUGGGGGCAUUAGUAUUCAAUUGUCAGAGGUGAAAUUCUUGGAUUUAUUGAAGACUAACUACUGCGAAAGCAUUUGCCAAGGAUGUUUUCAUUAAUCAAGAACGAAAGUUAGGGGAUCGAAGACGAUCAGAUACCGCCGUAGUCUUAACCAUAAACUAUGCCGACUAGGGAUCGGAUGAUGUUAAUUUUUUAAUGACUCAUUC
This 484-nucleotide ribosomal RNA is filed under the name uncultured Glomeromycotina. Its description in RNAcentral is "SSU rRNA". It matches the Rfam family "Eukaryotic small subunit ribosomal RNA", at positions 596 to 1081 of the family's 1831-position model. Lineage: Eukaryota; Fungi; Glomeromycota. The record is from RNAcentral.